UCGGCAUUGACGGCAAAAGAUAUAAACACACCCUCAAUGACAUCACUCCCUCUAAUUCACAAGUGCUGUUUGGACAUUAGCACGCUCCACACCGUAACUUCGACAAGCAAUUUCUGCUAUCAUGCAUACAUUUAAAUUUUUUCUGAGUGGACAGAGUACCAUAUGUUGACUUAGGUGAACAUUUCUGGUUUGUGCAAUAUAUUUAGUUGCCGAGUUGAUCGAUUAGAUUUAGAUAGAAAGCGUCCAAAUACGAAGAAAAUUGCUGAGCCAUUAAACUGUUUUCUGGAGAUCAAAGUCACCAAGUAUUCUAUGGAGGGCUCGCAGAAUGGCGCCUGUACAGAAAUGAGUUGACUUUGUGUUGUUAUCCGGCUUGUUUAGUUCGUUGACCUAUUUGUGUUUAUUGAUCCAUAUUUAAAUGUUCUCAAUUCACAGUCAACAGGAGGUUGGAUGAGUGGGUUAAACUUGAACAACCUGCUCUCUCUCACGUUGCUCUUCACCUUUGUUUGAAUUCGUUUUGCAUCGUUUGGUAGAACCGGGAUGAAUUUUGAUUAAGUUGUUUGCCCUUUCUUUGUGUUGUGUUCAAUUUCAUCACUGAUUUCCUUGUUAGUACCACUACUUGUUUCUGCGACUAUUCUAAUUGCAGACGACGACAUCAGCAUCCCUACAGAUCUGAAGCGGCCCAUCCUUAAUGGUUUCUACCGCCAUAUCUACCAACCCCGACCGGAUUUAUCAUUGCAUGGGAUCUCUCCUUAUCCGACGCUCACUCUGACGCAUCUGGCAUAGGUAAGCCACUGGUUCCUCCUCUGGUCACCCUCAUGCUCCGUGUAACCAUGGCCACCGAGUUGUGAUGAUUUUUUUUGUACACGAAUGAGAUAAUUUAUGUGUUCCAAACAUUGUGCACAGAUCAUUCUUAUAUUUGCUUGAAUUGGGAAACCCAAUCAAAUCAUCUUCUUUUGUGCUUCCUAUUUGCUGAUCCAUCGUAUGGGUGUACUGUGUAUGUAUGUAAAGGAGAUGGAGAAAGAUAGGAGUUGUAGCUUUUAGAAAUCUUGGUAUUGAUGGGGAAAGAUAGUGAUCACAGUUUCUUUGUUGGAAAGUGUCCAAACUUUUUUUCCCGGAAAUAUAAAUAUGAAUAAAGACAUUGUAUUUCUGUUACCAAAUAAAAAUCAUCUCCUUUUGUGUUUUUUAUGGCUGAUCCAUUUUAUGGGUGUUUUGUGCUUGCAUGUAAAGGGAAUGGGGAAAGAUGGGAGUACUAGCUUUUAGAAACACAUUUACUUAUUGGAAUUCCAGUAUUAAUGGGGGAAGAUAAUAAUCACUGUGUCCAGGUUAGAAAGCUUCCAAUUACGAAGAAAAUAGCCAGAGCUAUUAAACAUUUUUCUGGAGAUUCAAUUCACCUAUUAUAUUUCUGUUCCUCCGAUACUGCUACGUUCUUUUCAUGAUUGGUAACUACAAGUGUUCCCUUUUUGAUUAACAGAAGUGAUUGCAAAGGAGCUGGAUGUGCAGGGCCAUGGAAUCCCGAUGACAGUGGCCAACAUCACCUACAUAGGCAUGAACGACCUCCAUGCUGUUGGCGGCCUUGGCACGCUACUGUUCUACCUUUAUCUCCUGGAGGUCAAGAUGGAUGUUGACAUUCCCAACACUGUUCAGGGUAAUUCAUUCAUUCAUGCCCCAUACUUGGCAUGCUAUUGUUCUAACUUUAUCUCCUGGAGGUCAAGAUGGAGGUCAAGGUGGAUCGGCAGGAGCUAGAAGUAAGGUUAUCUCCUUUUUCUUCCAUUCCGAAGAUGGUUGCCAUUUAUACAUUUCAAGUUAGUAGCUAUUCCAUUGUAUCACAAUAGAGAAGUAAUUUGGUUGCGUGAAAAACAUCUAGGUUUCUCACUGGAGCGGAACUCCUUUGCACGGAGUCUCAUAACGCAGACUCAUCCCUGAAAGCACUAUGACAGCACUCAGGUUCAAUCAUGUGUUGCCCCCUGAAGGUCGGUUGCGUGCUUGAUCAUCCUGUCACAUCACAUAUAUUCAUGUUGGCAUUGUGUGGGCCUAACAAAAAAUGCUUGGUUUGCUACAAUUUUAGGCUGCUCCUGUGUCCAGCCUUGCCAAUCAGGCCGGCCUCCACAUGCUGGAGGCGCCGCUGAUUGCUCUCCAGGUUCCCCAAGAUCAUGCAGCAGGUACUUAGCCAGCUACCAUUGUGAAUGAAUGGCAGACUCGCCCCCGGCUGUUUGUAACAAAACUGGAAGUUUGAAACUCUUGCUUUGUUCAUGGUUUGGCGUACCUACCCUGGCGGUGUGUGCGUGUUCUUGCAAAUAAGGUCUAUGGCCCAUUUACAUAUAUUUGAUGCUCUUAGAUGGACAUGAAAACACUUGCUUGUAGAUUUGGCGCCACUAUAUUUUAGGUCCAUGUUCUAACUGUCAAUAAUAUGGCACUACACUUGGUUUUAUCUCCUGUUUUUUAGAGUUCGAUGAAAAACUGCCACACCAAAGUUGGUUGCUUCUAGGUGCUAUUGUAUAGUGAAUGAUAACUGAUUUAUAGUCCUGAGAUGUUUAUUUGUGUUCUCUUCCCAAACAUAGCUACUGUUUUAAUUUUGAUUUGGUCGCUAUUAUGAUUGCUUAAGCUUCAUCAUGUUCCCUCUUCUUUUCAGAAAAAGAACAUUUAGCUUAUUCUUUGUGGUUGUCUAAUCUUCCAUAACCUCGGCUUGCGCAACCGUUGCAGUUGUCGUCACCUCUUCUUGGUUCAGGUGAGCCCUUGAUCUCCCUCCCUCUUUUUCACUGAGAUAGUCUGCCAAAUUUUGAAUGUUGAUUCAGUGUUCAGAUCUCCGGUGGUUUUCUUCUGGCCACCACAAUCAUGUGAGCUUGCUGGAUUUUUGUCCCUAUGAGCUGGCCGAAUUGAUUAUUUCAAAAUGGUAAGGAUUUUUGGCAGUCAAGGGCUUAGUUGGAUUGAAAAUGUGAAAUCUAAGCCCUUUGACAAAUUAAAUGUUGUCUCUCGACUAUGGAGCAAAAUUAUAUGAUUUGGUCUUUGUUUGUUAUCUUGUCACGUAGUUGGACGAAAUGGGAACUUCCCUAUCUGCUAAAUCGAGCACGCAUUGCAUUAGCUUCAUUGAGUAAGUGCCAUAUCGAGCGAAGCAGAGCAGGAGCUUGCUCUUGUCUUGGCGCUAUUUUUGGUACUGCUAUCGCGUCAUGUUUAUUUGGUUACGGUCACCAUUGAUGAACAGUUCAUCUACAGUUUGAAAUAAGUUCGGGUCAGAACACUGGUUUUUUUCCCUUGCAUUUUUGGUUCAAAAAGUACCAGUUUGAUUAGCUGCAGUUCGUAUUUGUACUAUAUAGAACACAUAUUAAUAAAUUAGCUCAAUGGAAUAAGCGCGUAACCAAGCUAAGGGUAGCAGGGCUUGCACUUGUCUUGUUGCUAUAUUUGGUACUGCGAUGGUGUCAUGUUCAGUUAGUUACUAUCACCAUCGAUCAACUAGAUUCCAUUUGCAUUUUGAAACUAGUUUUGAUAAAGAACACUGAUACCUGUAGUAUUUUUGGUUGAAAAAGCACCAGCAUGAUAGGGCAGUGGAGUUCUAAUUCUUGAGUGACACACUGUGACAGUGUGACCGCAUUAUGGAAUUUUUUUAACCUGUUAUGCCAAUGCCUCUUCACUGUUUGAUAUCUAACCGUGUACUUAUUUUGAUGUCCUUUGUAACAGAAUUUACCCAGAAAUGCCCUUUUAGCAUGGAAAAAUAAAUUUCAUUCUACGCUCUCAACUAUACAUGUAGUGAGAAUGAUGAACAUCUUUGUUCUUGUUGUUGUUGCCUACAGCACGUGCCACUUGGUCUGGUGCAGGGCAGGGUGAUGCAUGUGGCGUAGCUGCCCAGCAAGAUGGGCCUCGUCGACAAGAGGUGCAGGAAGGAACGAUCAUAUGGUCAUUGUUGUGAUUGCGGAUGCUCACCAAGAUCACAUCGCCCAAAGCAUGAAUUUCUGGACCUCACCAUCUAUUCCUCGGUCCAGGCAAGUUUGUGGUCUCCUCCUCCCCCCCUCUCUCUCUCUCNNNNNNNNNNNNNNNNNNNNNNNNNNNNNNNNNNNNNNNNNNNNNNNNNNNNNNNNNNNNNNCACACACACAGAGAUACACAUACACAUACGUGCACCCCUAGAUUGUCAGUCAUCUGAGUCGUGGUUGAUCGUGGUUCGGGCCAUCGAGCCAAUGAUUAGUGUUUGGAUCUACGGUGGCAUUCUUGUGUGACUGGUUGAUCAUCUUUCUUGUUGAUGAGACUGGUACCUUGUAUUUUUGUGCUGGGUCCUGUUUAGCACUUCAUGCUACACGGUUUGGUAAUGUCAUGCUUAGUUUUGAUAGAUAGGAUCCAUCCUUACUUAUUUUGGGAUUUUGACUUGUUGGUGGUUUGCUAGAAUCAAAUAGAAGAAAAUGCUUACUUGGUGUAGUGUGGCUGGUGCAUAGAUAGAUAGAACAAGUGCCAUCCUCGUGUACUUUUGAGGGAGCCAUCAUGUGUUGGCAAUAUUUAUGAUAAGUCGUGGAUGCUUUUGCCCAUGAAGAGUGGAUAUUAUUCUGGCUUUGGAACUACCUUUUUUAUCAGUCUAUUCAUGAUUGAGUCCAGACUUUUUUUUGGUUGUAUGAAAUGUUAGCCUGCAUUUGCUUAGGUUAGGACAACAUGUGUUUUGUGUUUUUCUGUAAACAAAUGUUUUGUGAUUUUUCAGAGUGAAUGUCUACUUGGGGUAACAACCUUCUUAACAAGAGCCUUUCUGGUCAAAUUCCACAAUCCUUGACAUAUUUGAUCUUGUAGGCGUCAAAAUUUUUGUGGCAUUGAGCCGUUAUACAAGUGCUGAGGUUAUUUGCAUUUUGUAAAAGCUAGCUUUUGGUUAUUUGUUAUGUUGCAUCGCUCUGCUGUUGGCUGAAAUGGUGUGUUGUGAGUGUCGUGUCCAAAGCAAAGCAAUUUGUCAAGUAGAGAGAAUAAUUUUUCUGGGCUGGCUUAUGAUCUUCGCCUAUACAAAGGGAUAGUGUAUUUGUUGGUUGGAAAAAGUGAUGCAUACCAUUGGUACUUUGCUUUUGUCAGGACCCCGACUCAAUGCCACAUCGAUCCAGCAUGUAACACUUCAUAUCACUUUGCGGCCUCACGCACGGUAUUCCCACGGGUGUCGCCUUACCUUUACCCGGGAUCGUUUGCGUCUUUUGGCACACGUAUAUGAUAAUGUCGCUAGCAUCCAUAUGAUAAGGAGCCCGGGCUGACAUGGCUAUUCGUAAACCCAAAGUGGCACAAACUUACAGGGACAGACAUCCAUGACCCAGCAUCGAACGUGUCGGUCAUCAGCGAGUGAAUCCAGGCUGUAGCACUGGGCUAGCAGGACUUCGGUGAACCAGGCUGUAGCGGGCUAACAGGACUCCGGUAUUCAUCGCGUGACAUUUCCCCGAAGGGACAGACACAGGAACGAAGAAGGACACAUGCCGGCCAGCCUAAGUGUUUCGGAGCAGUAGCAAGCUACCAUGGCUCGGUGGAAACACUAGGAGACAUUUCCCGGUAAGAGAGGCUACUAAAGAUAAACAACUAGAUAGUCAGAUCCCACACAUAUCAAGCAUUUCAAUAACAUACACACAAUAUGCUCGAUAUGUGCAAUACAACAUGGCAUCACAAAAUGACUCUACGACUCAAGUAGUUUAUUCAAUAGGCUUCGAGGAGCGAGACAUUACAAACAUGGGUCUCAUGACCCAACAAUCAGAGCAUACAAGUCAAAGCACAAGCGGAAGCUAUCAUGUCUGGGUACAGACAUCUAUAAAUGAAAAAGGCUGAGAAGCCUGACUAUCUAUCAGAUCCUGCCGAGGGCACAAGAUCGUAGCUGAGGUAACAAGCUAAACGUCGAAGUCCACGUGGAACUACUAGUGAGACUGAAGUCUCUCUGCAAAAACAUAAAAUAGGCAAACGUGAGUACAAAUGUACCCAGCAAGACUUACAUCAAAACUAACUACAUAUGCAUCAUUUUCAACAAGGGGAUGGUGGGGUUUAACUGCAGCAAGCCAGCUUUGACUCGGUGGCUAUCCUAAACUACGACUGCAAGCGACUCUUUUGAGGUGGCGCACACGAGUCCACAUAUUCACCAUAUCAAUACACCACUAUGGAUCCGCUCCCGUCUCCCUAUGAGAACGCCAUCCAUAGCACUCACGCUUAUCUUGCGUAUUUUAAAGUAUCCACUUUCACUUGUCUAUGAACUGAUAUAAACAACCAAGUAGUCCUUUACCGCGGACGCGACUAUUCGAAUAGAUCAUGAUAACCCUGCAGGGGUGUACUUCUUCAUACAUGUUUCCACCACUUAGCGUCUGCACACGACAUGUGCUCGGCAGACUUCAAGCUACCGCAACAAGUAACAGAUGAAUCGAUGUUGUCCUAAUGCAGUAAAAGAGAGCAGGAGCGAGAGAGUGGGAUUGUAUCGGAAUGAACAAGGGGGUUUUGCUUGCCUGGCACUUCUGAAGAUAAUAUUGAGUCUUCAUCAGUGUCAACGAUCACAUCAUCGGUAUCACGUCUAUCGAGAGGGGACAAAUACCGGCAACACAGAAGGGAACACAAUCAAUGCAAUGCACAAUAUGAUGCAUGAUCAUGACAUGGCAAAAUGAAUGUGUUUUGAGCCAAUGCAACUAGCAACAGAUUAAAUGAAGUUGGUUUGAAUACAAGAUUCAAAUUCAAACUCCAUAUGUGAUUAUUUAAAUGCCCUUUAUUUGAUUUGUGCUAAACAGCAACUAUAAGUUGUUCUAACAUGCAUGAAAAUGGUACAGAUGGAUUCCUUGAAUUUUACUGAUAAUUUUUCAUAUAUAAAUUAUUUAAUUUGGAGUUACGGUUGAAUUUCUAUGAAUUUUAGAAGUUUAUACAAUUUUCUGGAAUUUAUAAAUCAUUUCCUAAUUUAUUUUAAUUCCAGAAAGGAAUUAUUGCGUCAGCAUGACCUCAUCCUGACGUCAUCAGGUCAACAGGGCGGGUCCAGGUCAAACNNNNNNNNNNAGAUACCUGGUAUUUCUCUCCUUCCCCACUUUAAGCACAAAGAACAACUUCAGAGGCACAUUGUGCGCUUGCACUUAUUAUUUUUACUGUAUUGUCAGUUCGGUGUUUGUGAGAUAGGCAUUGCUAACUUGCAACUUGUGAACCGGUUUACUCCUUGUCUGUCUCUCUCGGCCCUUGUAUCUUGAUUUUACAUGUACCAGUAGACAUCACUUCUGUUAUUUAGAUACAAGUUUUGUGUUUGGACAUGUGAAUUUUCUCUCACUACUUGAAGGUUUCAUGUGGAAUUUCCGAGAGUACCAAACCAACUCCUAGUUUUUCACCCUUCUGUCAGUCCUUGUAUCUAAAUUAACUGCAACUAUUUUCUGCAAGGAACUGCAUUAAGCAAGAACACAAACCCCUGUCUCCACCACAUAUAUUUCUCAUUGUCAAAGGAAGGUCAUCUUUAGAAAUCUGAAGUCAUGGCUGCCUGUUAGGGUGUCUUUGGAUCCUAAGCAAUUGUAGUGUUAGCUUGCUUAGCAAGGAAAUCUGUUUGGUAAAAGCUAAACUAACCUGGCAAUUCCAUCUAGCCUGCACACGCUAGAAAAGCCUUGCCCCAGCAGGAGGGCCAAUUUGGCUCUCCGUUGGUAAUAAAUGAGUGGAAGAAAGAAAUCAAGGUAACUGCCACUGGAAUUGUGCUUAACCAAGGAGAUUGGUAGCUGAACCAAAUAGCUGGCUUUGCCCACGUAGGCUGUAGCUCAAAAGCCUUGGUUAGCUCGGCAUUGACGGCAAAAGAUAUAAACACACCCUCAAUGACAUCACUCCCUCUAAUUCACAAGUGCUGUUUGGACAUUAGCACGCUCCACACCGUAACUUCGACAAGCAAUUUCUGCUAUCAUGCAUACAUUUAAAUUUUUUCUGAGUGGACAGAGUACCAUAUGUUGACUUAGGUGAACAUUUCUGGUUUGUGCAAUAUAUUUAGUUGCCGAGUUGAUCGAUUAGAUUUAGAUAGAAAGCGUCCAAAUACGAAGAAAAUUGCUGAGCCAUUAAACUGUUUUCUGGAGAUCAAAGUCACCAAGUAUUCUAUGGAGGGCUCGCAGAAUGGCGCCUGUACAGAAAUGAGUUGACUUUGUGUUGUUAUCCGGCUUGUUUAGUUCGUUGACCUAUUUGUGUUUAUUGAUCCAUAUUUAAAUGUUCUCAAUUCACAGUCAACAGGAGGUUGGAUGAGUGGGUUAAACUUGAACAACCUGCUCUCUCUCACGUUGCUCUUCACCUUUGUUUGAAUUCGUUUUGCAUCGUUUGGUAGAACCGGGAUGAAUUUUGAUUAAGUUGUUUGCCCUUUCUUUGUGUUGUGUUCAAUUUCAUCACUGAUUUCCUUGUUAGUACCACUACUUGUUUCUGCGACUAUUCUAAUUGCAGACGACGACAUCAGCAUCCCUACAGAUCUGAAGCGGCCCAUCCUUAAUGGUUUCUACCGCCAUAUCUACCAACCCCGACCGGAUUUAUCAUUGCAUGGGAUCUCUCCUUAUCCGACGCUCACUCUGACGCAUCUGGCAUAGGUAA
Molecule: long non-coding RNA, 8500 nt
Filed under: Triticum aestivum (bread wheat)
Lineage: Eukaryota; Viridiplantae; Streptophyta; Magnoliopsida; Poales; Poaceae
Description: long non-coding RNA (TAES_LNC012563)
Source: RNAcentral